Molecule: ribosomal RNA, 253 nt
Filed under: uncultured bacterium
Lineage: Bacteria
Description: partial 16S ribosomal RNA
Rfam family: Bacterial small subunit ribosomal RNA
Source: RNAcentral
UACGUAGGGCGCAAGCGUUAUCCGGAAUUAUUGGGCGUAAAGAGCUCGUAGGCGGUUUGUCACGUCGGAUGUGAAACCCCGGGGCUCAACCCCGGGCCUGCAUUCGAUACGGGCAGACUAGAGUGUGGUAGGGGAGAUCGGAAUUCCUGGUGUAGCGGUGAAAUGCGCAGAUAUCAGGAGGAACACCGGUGGCGAAGGCGUAUCUCUGGGCCAUUACUGACGCUGAGGAGCGAAAGCGUGGGGAGCGAACAGG